RNAcentral lists this ribosomal RNA (253 nucleotides) under uncultured bacterium. RNAcentral's name for it is "partial 16S ribosomal RNA". It matches the Rfam family "Bacterial small subunit ribosomal RNA", at positions 524 to 776 of the family's 1533-position model. The record is from RNAcentral.
UACGUAGGUGGCGAGCGUUGUCCGGAUUUACUGGGCGUAAAGAGCUCGUAGGCGGUUUGUCGCGUCUGCUGUGAAAACUCGGGGCUUAACUCCGGGCCUGCAGUGGGUACGGGCAGACUAGAGUGCGGUAGGGGAGACUGGAAUUCCUGGUGUAGCGGUGAAAUGCGCAGAUAUCAGGAGGAACACCGGUGGCGAAGGCGGGUCUCUGGGCCGUAACUGACGCUGAGGAGCGAAAGCGUGGGGAGCGAACAGG